GACGAACGCUGGCGGCGUGCUUAACACAUGCAAGUCGAACGGAAAGGCCCUGCUUUUGUGGGGUGCUCGAGUGGCGAACGGGUGAGUAACACGUGAGUAACCUGCCCUUGACUUUGGGAUAACUUCAGGAAACUGGGGCUAAUACCGGAUAGGAGCUCCUGCUGCAUGGUGGGGGCUGGAAAGUUUCGGCGGUUGGGGAUGGACUCGCGGCUUAUCAGCUUGUUGGUGGGGUAGUGGCUUACCAAGGCUUUGACGGGUAGCCGGCCUGAGAGGGUGACCGGCCACAUUGGGACUGAGGUACGGCCCAGACUCCUACGGGAGGCAGCAGUGGGGAAUAUUGCACAAUGGGCGGAAGCCUGAUGCAGCAACGCCGCGUGCGGGAUGACGGCCUUCGGGUUGUAAACCGCUUUCGCCUGUGACGAAGCGUGAGUGACGGUAAUGGGUAAAGAAGCACCGGCUAACUACGUG
This 468-nucleotide ribosomal RNA is filed under the name uncultured bacterium. Its description in RNAcentral is "partial 16S ribosomal RNA". It matches the Rfam family "Bacterial small subunit ribosomal RNA", at positions 28 to 507 of the family's 1533-position model. The record is from RNAcentral.